ACCUGGCUGGGUCAGUCUGUAGAGCAUGUGACUCUUGAUCUUGAGGUUGUGGGUUCAAGCCCCACACUGGGUA
RNAcentral lists this transfer RNA (73 nucleotides) under Canis lupus familiaris (dog). It matches the Rfam family "tRNA". From Rfam's summary of the family: Transfer RNA (tRNA) molecules are approximately 80 nucleotides in length. Their secondary structure includes four short double-helical elements and three loops (D, anti-codon, and T loops). Further hydrogen bonds mediate the characteristic L-shaped molecular structure. tRNAs have two regions of fundamental functional importance: the anti-codon, which is responsible for specific mRNA codon recognition, and the 3' end, to which the tRNAs corresponding amino acid is attached (by aminoacyl-tRNA synthetases). tRNAs cope with the degeneracy of the genetic code in two manners: having more than one tRNA (with a specific anti-codon) for a particular amino acid; and 'wobble' base-pairing, i.e. permitting non-standard base-pairing at the 3rd anti-codon position. Lineage: Eukaryota; Metazoa; Chordata; Mammalia; Carnivora; Canidae. The record is from Rfam by way of RNAcentral. RNAcentral also lists the same sequence under 2 other names.